RNAcentral lists this microRNA (20 nucleotides) under Bos taurus (domestic cattle). RNAcentral's name for it is "bta-miR-562". Its record names the gene bta-miR-562. The record is from miRBase by way of RNAcentral. Lineage: Eukaryota; Metazoa; Chordata; Mammalia; Artiodactyla; Bovidae.
AAAGCAGCUGUACCAUUUAC